UUGACAUCGAUUUACAUGGAUAACCGUGGUAAUUCUAGAGCUAAUACAUGCUGGUGUGCCCGACUUUUGCGGAAGGGCGGUAUUUAUUAGAUAACAAGCCAAUAUUCCUCUGGUCUAUUGUGGUGACUCAUAAUAACUGAUCGAAUCGCAAGGCCUGUGGCCGCGAUAAGUCAUUCAAGUUUCUGCCCCAUCAGCUUUCGAUGGUAGUGUAUUGGACUACCAUGGCGUUUACGGGUAACGGAGGAUUAGGGUUCGAUUCCGGAGAGGGAGCCUGAGAAACGGCUACCACAUCUAAGGAAGGCAGCAGGCGCGUAAAUUACCCAAUCCUGACUCAGGGAGGUAGUGACAAGAAAUAACGGACCGAGGCCCUCGGGCUUCGGGAUUGCAAUGAGCCGAAUUUACACCCCUUAGCGAGGAUCGAUUGGAGGGCAAGUCUGGUGCCAGCAGCCGCGGUAAUUCCAGCUCCAAUAGCGUAUAUUAAAGUUGUUGCAGUUAAAAAGCUCGUAGUUGGAUUUCUGGGAGGGUGCCAAUGUCCGCCGACGUGCGUGCGCAGCGGCGCCCUUCCAUCCUUCUGUUAACGCCUCUUGGCAUUCAUUUGCUGGUGGCGGGCUCAGAUAUUUUACCUUGAGAAAAUUAGAGUGUUUCAGGCAGGCUAGGCCGGAAUACAUUAGCAUGGAAUAAUGGAAUAGGACUACGGUCUCUUUGUUGGUUUGAGGGACUGCAGUAAUGAUUAAUAGGGAUAGUUGGGGGCAUUAGUAUUUAAUUGUCAGAGGUGGAAUUCUCGGAUUUGUUAAAGACUAACUUAUGCGAAAGCAUUUGCCAAGGAUGUUUUCAUUAAUCAAGAACGAAAGUUAGGGGAUCAAAGACGAUCAGAUACCGUCCUAGUCUUAACCAUAAACUAUGCCGACUCGGGAUCGGGGGCGCGAACUAUCCGCCUUCGGCACCGUAUGAGAAAUCAAAGUCUUUGGGGUUCUGGG
Molecule: ribosomal RNA, 977 nt
Filed under: uncultured eukaryote
Lineage: Eukaryota
Description: SSU rRNA
Rfam family: Eukaryotic small subunit ribosomal RNA
Source: RNAcentral